Non-coding RNA from Brachypodium distachyon (stiff brome), 136 nucleotides. Lineage: Eukaryota; Viridiplantae; Streptophyta; Magnoliopsida; Poales; Poaceae. The record is from Rfam.
CAAGUACUCCCUCCGUCCAACAAAGGAUGUCUCAACUUUGACUAAAUUUGAAUGCAUCUAUAUACUAAGUCAUGUCUAGAUAAAUCCAAAUUUUGACAAAUUUGAGACAUCUUUUUUUGGACGGAGGGAAUACAAU